RNAcentral lists this long non-coding RNA (699 nucleotides) under Gossypium barbadense (sea-island cotton). Its description in RNAcentral is "long non-coding RNA (GBAR_LNC004673)". The record is from RNAcentral. Lineage: Eukaryota; Viridiplantae; Streptophyta; Magnoliopsida; Malvales; Malvaceae.
UUUCAUUUCUUCAAAAAUUUUGAGAGCUCCCAGACCCUCUGGUCCAAUCACCGGACCGGUCAUCGUCCACCGCGCCAGCCACCAUACACAGUGGCCGAAAAUCGCCAAAAGGUAAAUUUUUUUAUUUUAUUUUAUUUGCUAUAUUUAUCUAAAUAUAUAUAUUGUUUUUUUUUAAAUAUUGAAAGGUAUGUACAAAUGGGUUCGAAAAAGAAAGAAAAAUAAAAAGAAAAUAAAUAGCCUUUAUCUCGAAAUCUUUGACUCUGUUUUCGAUGUUUCUUGCUGCGAUUUUGUGUUGGUAUUCAAAACCUUUUGAUGGUAUUUUUUACUUUUUUUUAUGUUUGAGCCUCUGUUUUUUAUUUCCAAGCCAAAAAAGAGUCCCCUUGAAAUACAUUUAGAUUCAACCUUUAUGGCCAUUUUUACAAUGGUUUUUAAUCUAUUCUACUGUUUGUUGCGUGUUUGCUUCAUCUUUGCAGGGUAGUUGACGACGGUGGAGCAGGUGGCUAAUAGGGGAGUGGUGGUAGGUGGUGGCAGAGGUCAAAAGACCUAGGUGCGGUGCCGAAUUUAGGGGCUAGGGUUUGUUCUCUUUUUUUAUUUUUAUUUGUGCUGUUAGGGUUAGUUUGGGCUUGGGUUAAUAUUGGGUUAUCAAAUUAAACCUCAUAAUCAAGUUUCAUUUUUAAAUUAAUUAAUAUAAUAAUACAU